This is a long non-coding RNA of Odontomachus brunneus, 1622 nucleotides long. RefSeq lists it as uncharacterized. The transcript is spliced from 3 exons. NCBI's taxonomy places the organism in Eukaryota, Metazoa, Arthropoda, Insecta, Hymenoptera, Formicidae. The record is from RefSeq and is a predicted model, not a curated record.
AGCAGCGAGUAAAGCCGGAAGUUGGCAGUUUAAAACAAAGUAAGAACAUUGUUUUGCCUCAGUGUUUUCUCACUCUCUCCUAUUGACUGUCAAGAACAGUAUGGCGCCAUAGCUUAACCUGACCAUACUUUAACCUAUUUCAUGGAUUUUUCUGUUUUGAUAAAGUUUUGAAGUAUUUUAUAUAAGGUACUGGAAAAUAUUAAAAAUAAUAAGAAUGACUUGUUGUUGUAUCUGUGGCUUGGAAUAUAUGUACAAGAUGCAGGGAAUUAGCUUCCAUAGUCUUCUAAAGAACACAGGGAAAAAAAUCGAUGGCUAGCUAGUGUUAAAAGAAAAAUUUGUAAUUUUUCGUGCACUGAUAAAUCAGUAAUAUGCAGCCAACAUUUCAAAAAAGAAUGUUUUGUAAUAAUAGGCAGUGGCAAAUUAUACUUGAAAGCAGAUACCGUACCAACAAUAUUUAAUAUACCAUUAAAAGGAAAAUAUAAUAUCAACGUAAUGAUGAGGCCAUUCAACAGCCAAAUACAUAUAAUGAUAUAAGUAUUAGAAAUAUAUCACCUAUGAAAUAUCUUCAUGAAAAACAUGCAGAACUUGUUUGUGAUGAAUAAAUUGCUGGAACAAAUACACAAAUGAAUGCUAUGAAUAAAUUACCAGAAACAUUUACAUAUAUCAUACAAGCACAGCGUACAAGUAAAUGUGAUAACAUUCAUAGGUAAAAUAAUAAAAAGUAAAAGUAAUUUGUAAUGUGUAUUGCUUGUAUAUGAUAGAUAAAUUAACAUGAGAAUAUUUCUCGCAUAGUACAAAUGAGAUCAUCAACAGUGAUGAAGAUAAAUGUAAAAUGCAUAUUUCUUCCAUUCUGGAAGAAGUUACAAAAUUAAGAAAAAAAGUAAGAAUAUAUGAACAAAAAUGUAGGAGAUUGCAAAAGAAGGUGGUUUCCUUAACUUCACUUGUUAAGCAUUUGCAAGAUCAAAAAUUGAUUUCUGAAAAUGCUGUGGAAAUGUUAGAAGUAAGUGAAGUAUAAUUUCUGUACAUAUGUAUAAAAAGGAAUAUAAAAAUAUUGAAGGUAUUUGUUAGAUGGAACACAGGAGAAGACAUAUAAAGAAAUAUAUAUUUUAAUUCAAAUUGUUCUCGUGCAACAGAAUAUUGUGUCAGAAACAGAAAAACAAAUUAUAAAAAGACACUUGAAAAGGAACAAAAAAGGCAAAUUUUCUAGUGAAAUGAUUAUAACAUUGUUAUAAUCAUUGUUAUUUGCUAUGUCAUAUGUUACAAGUAAUAUUUUCGAUAAUGUUUUACAUAUGUUGGAACAAGUGCCAUUGCAAGACCAUAGAACUAUUUUAAUAAAAUUGAUAUUAUACAAGUACAUACAACUACGAUUACGACAUAUUUGUACUUCAAAACAAUACAAUACAAAGAAUAAGAAACAAAUUUACCAAAUUAAUAACUUUUAAAAAUCAAUGAAUGUCUAAAUAUUAAUGUUAUAAUUUUUGGUAAUUUACAUUUAAAUUGUCAGGUUCUUCAUUUAUUAUUAAACCUAUCUUCUAUAUAUAUUUUGUAUUCUUUCAUUAUUUUAUAUAAACCAUUUCAUAUUGCAGCACACUGAUUUUUUGUAUCUUACAUUAUUGCAUAUA